ACCGGGUCGUAAGUUAUGAUGGUUUAAUUCGAUUUUUGAUGUGAAGAAAAAAAUCGGUAAAACUGAAUAACCAUUGCCCAAAUUUAAGUGAAAACUGUAGCAAAACAGAAUACUUUCGAUUGUGAGUGAUACGGGUAGGAUAUUUCGGAACCAAAACCACGGGAAUCGCCUUUUUUUCGUUCGGGUUUCCGAUGGUUUUUUGUUCUCGCGUAAGUCCUUUGGGAGGAGCGCGCCCUUGUGAUUGCGAAAGGAAUUUUUUUUUCUCCUGCUUUCAGGGUGUGCUAAUCGACUAACACCAAAACUAAAAGAAAAAAAGACAGUCUAAAUGGUCAGCAUAAGUUGAAACUUCUCGUGUGACACAAAAUCACAGAGCAAAUUUGCGGUUUUCGGUGAGAAUGGAGCUGGUGGACACGGCCCAUACGACGGAAAUGUGCUACCUAACACCCUCGGGUUCAUCGGACAUGGGCGGAGGAAAACUCACCAAUUCUCACCACCGUCAGCCGCAGCAAAACAAUAACAACGGAAUGGCACCGCUGUGCCAAGCGGAAACCGACGACAAUGACGAUCCGGGUCGGUACGCGUACGCUGGUGACGAUCCGCCCCCGGCCGAUGGGUUCAACGAGGGCAGCAAUGGCAACCGGGAGGAGCAGGAGGAAGAGGAUGACUACGGACUGGAGGAGGUAUACCGGACGGUUCACAGUGGACAGUCGGCCGUUCAGUGGAUCAACGAUGACGAUGAAAUCGAACGGUUGGAUCUGUCGCUGUCGAUCGAUCCGGCCAAUAUCGUUUUCAAUCGGGUGGACAGUGCGGACAUUAUCUACCAGGCCAAGCGGAAAAAGUGCAAACUGGUCGGGAAAUACGUGAUGGGGGACGUACUGGGCGAAGGAAGCUUCGGCAAGGUUAAGGAGGUGCUGGAUUCCGAAACGCUCAGCCGACGGGCGGUUAAGAUCUUCACCAAACGGAAACUGCGGCGCAUCCCAAACAGCGAACAGAACGUCCGGUGCGAGAUCAAUCUGCUGCGGAAGUUGCACCACAACAACGUGAUCGAGCUACUGGAUGUGCUGUACAACGAGGAGAAGCAGAAGAUGUACUUGAUCAUGGAGUACUGCGUCGGUGGUCUGCAGGAGAUGCUGGAUUCGGUGCCGACGAAGAAACUACCGAUGCACCAGGCUCACAGCUACUUUGUCCAGUUGCUGAGUGGGCUGGAGUAUCUGCACGGGAUGGGCGUCGUCCACAAGGACAUCAAACCGGGCAAUCUGCUGCUGACGUUGGAUCACACGCUGAAGAUAUCGGACUUUGGCGUAGCGGAGGCAUUGGAUAUUUUUGCACCGAACGACGACUGCACCAAUGGACAGGGGACACCGGCUUUUCAACCACCGGAGAUUGCCAACGGACACGAGGUGUUCUCCGGGUUUAAGGUUGACAUUUGGAGCUGUGGAGUUACGCUUUACACAAUCGCAACGGGAAAGUAUCCGUACGAAGGUGAUAAUAUUUACAAAUUAUUAGAAAAUAUAGGAAAAUGUGAGUGGGUUGCGCCCGACUGGUUGGAAAGUCGACUGGCGGAUCUGUUGACGAACAUUCUGAAAGAGGAUCCCACGGAACGGUUCAGUUUGCAACAAAUUCGACAACAUGAAUGGUUCCGUUGUGCACCGAUCGCUACUGAUCCCUGCGUACCGGUGCCACCCCUCAAAGGAGACUCAAUCCGACGUUCCACUGUUUUGCCUUACCUAGAAGCACACCACUACGAGGCGGAUCGCGAUCUGGCCAACGUGUACUUCACCGAACACGACAUUAACGAGGAGAUAGCCCGACAGCAGCUGGAUCCGGGCUGCCCGCACGGGUUGGAAUCGAUUUCGUACCAAUCGGACGAAUACCACCAACAGCAUCACCAUCACCGUCAGUAUCAGAACAACAGCAGUAACGUCAGUGCUAGCUAUUCCGGCAAAGGUGCCGGUGAUGCGGACAGCGGAACGGCGAAUCGGACCCAGCGGAAGAUGCGUAGUAUUUCCCUCUCGCCGAAAUUUAGCUCGCGCCAUGCCACAGCCUCAGCCCCCGAGGGUGCCACGAAGCGAUCCCGUCACCACAAAAAGCCCGUUUCCUGUAUAUCGUGGAAAAAGUGGUCCCACUGUCGACAAUCGUGAAGCAAUGAGAGAGAGGGAGAACCAGAGGCCGGCUGUUUCGCGGCGGGUCCCCGUGCGCUGAUGCCAUUCGAUGUAUUUUUUAUUUAAAUUGUUUCUCUAGAACUUAGAUAACUGUAAAUUUUAGCAGUGUUAGGAAAAUGGAACAUACUAUCUAUAGGCAAUCUAUUGAACUACUUUUCGAAUUUAGAGUAGACGAAGUUACAAACAGACAAACAAAUUUCGACGUGGAUGGGCCGGAUCCAAGGUCCCAUUAGAAACAGAGAAGAAAAAAACCAACUAAACAAACGGUUGCGCUAGGGUUUUGUGAGGAAUUUACUGGAUAUGAACAAAUGCCUUGUCAUAGGUUAGUCAGAGCAAAAGUAGUCAAACUCCGGAGAACACUCCCAAGUGAACGAUGGAAACCGAAGCGAACGAAGUGUUACGUCGUUAGGAUGAGAAAUGAUGGUUUUCCGGAUUGGCGGUACCGAAUUUUAGGUUCCUUUAUGAUGUGAAUAUGUAUGAUAUGUAAAUAGUAGUGACACACAAAUUGGAAGACAAUUCGUAAACGUUUUUGUUUUCUUUUUUGGACUCGUGGGUUUGAUCAAAGUUUCGAUUCUGAGGCUGCACUGCUGAUUGGUUCCAACGAUCAUGGUUUUAAUUUCUUGGGAUUUCCUAAUUUUCGUCUUCUUUCAUUUUUUUACCACUGAUAUUUGCAAGUUCCAACUGCAAGGCUUCGGCAACGGAAAGCUCUAUAUGCUAAUUCUAUUUAGUAAAGCAAAACGGUACGAAACAUCAAGAAAAUAUUUGUGGAUCUAUAAAAACAUUAAAAUUGUAUUAUUUUUUUUUUAAUUUUUCGUGUUGAAAUGUUCCCGACCCCAGCACUCGCUUGUCAACACCGAUCAGCUGCUUGCAGGGAUGCCUGAUUUCAUUUUUUUCUUUAAUUUAUAUGGGACUUCGUAAUCUUGAGUUUAUCUUUGCUAGUGCAUGACGAAAAUUUAUUUUUAUAAUAAUUUACUCAUAGUGUCAUGUCUGUUAGUCUGUGACACUACUAGAGAUGGGAAAUAUCGCAUAAAAUCUGUUAUCGAUAAUAUCGAUGUAUCUCAAUUCAAUAUCGAUAUUAUCGAUAAAUAUCGAUAUUUGUCACCAGCUAAAUGAAAAUUUCGACCGUCCCACGACAAAAGGGCCUAACUGUAAAUGACAGUUACUCUUUGUUUACUUUUUCUUUCACGAUUUAUCGAACUGAUUUUAUAUAUGAUGCUUUACUCUUCGCAAAACUUUCAUGGUAAAACUACAAGCUUUCGAUUUAUAUUGGAAACUUUAGAUAAUUUGCAGUAAUGGCUCCGUAAUAAUCAAAAGAGAAAGUAAACAAAGAGAGGCUCUCAUUUGCAGUUAGGCCCUUUUGUCGUGGGACUAUCGAUUUAUUAAAACAAGAAAGUAUAUUUGAUUGCAAAAAAUAAUUUUAGGUUCACAGCCGAACAAAUUACAUUUUCAAAAAUUGAAAUAUCCCUGGGCUCAAACAAGCCGUGUUUCCCGCUGUGGAAUUGACUCUUUCAGCGUCUUUUUUUUGCUAGAAUUAUCAAAAGACGCUGUGCAAUAAAUUUCUGUGUAAUUUUCUCAAUAAGAGAAAAUAUCUCGGUUGAUUUUUCAAAAGGGCGUAUAAGCAAGUGACAGUUUCUCUUUAUUUACUUUCUCUUCUAUUAAUUACCAAGCGGUUUCCACGUUUAUCACUCAACUCUUUGCAUGAAAUGAUACCCGAAACUUUCGACUUUCAAACAGAAUAGUUAUAUAAAAAAAAUCUUUUUAAUCACAUCACAAUAAUCGAAAGAGAGAGUGAUUAAAGAGAAACUGUCACUUGCUUAUACGCCCUUUUGAAGAGUUGCGUACAGGACGUCAAUUUUAGCAGACCCUGUCAGCUUGGAGCGAAAUCAAUCUUCAGUCCAGUAACGCCAUCGCACGGCAUCACAUUCAACAUAUCAUGUCUGUGUAUUUUAUAACUAUUAAUCGAAAAUGGAAUCACCCAGAACGGUGCACUUCUUACCUGUAUGGUUGUUCGUGAUGAAAUGUCAGAAGCUGGGGUGGAAUCAUGUAAGGUGAUAAGUGACUAUCACCUCCUGGUGAUAACGAGGUGAUCACCAGAAUGUUUGGAAUCACCGAAGGUGAUCACUUUUACUAUCACCAUCACCGGUUAUUGAGCCAACUUCACUCCAUUUAUUACCUGUCAAGAAACGUCAAUUUUUCAGGAGUCAAAUAUGAAUGUGGCGUAUACCGUUGAUAUUAGGAGGAGUAGCAUAUGAAUGUGGCGUAUACCCAUAUAAUAUUUUAAAAUCUAAAGUUUUAUUCCUUUAGUUUUCAACUUUUUUCAUUAAUUCGAGUCAUGUUUAUCAACGAUGAUUUGUAUGGAUCGAAGAGUAACGUUGAAAAAAAUAACCUGCGCACAAACAAAUAAAAAAAAUCACUUGUUGGUUUAAUUGAGCGCCGAUUUUUAUUUUUCAAUGGAAAUCAAUGUCACAGUCAAUUCUUUGGGAUAAAUUUGCUAGCUUUGAAAUGACACGAAUUGUUAGAUCUUCUUGAUGUUUCACAACGGAUGGCAUUCCUCUCGAAUGAGAAAGAUCCGUUAAAUAAUUUCUUGUAUAGUUUUCAUUCACUUUACGAUUAUGGCAUUUCACAGAGCUUUCAAAUGCUACCUCCAUUUUGGAAAUUUUACCCACCGGUACUACGAAUAUCCACUAUGAUUAGCAGCAACUAAUUGUCCAAAAAUAUUGCCUUAUUUAGUUCAACUCACAAGAAAAUUAAGAACGCAGUUUAAUCUUUUUUACUCGUUCAGUUGAACGAGACUGAUAUGUCGCUUACUAAGUCACGGCCAUCUAAUUCUACUGAAAAUGUUAGCAUAGAUUUUUUUAUGUUACGUUAUGUGCAACAGGAGAUGUCUACAUUCAUAAACUUAUCACUUUUCCAGAAAGCAAUUUAUCUUUGACUUUACGAAUACCCCAAUGAUAUUCCUUCAAAUAAUAAUUAUAACAUAAAUGAAUCGAUUUAAUUGAUAAAUACUACCGUUCAUUCUAUGAAUUCUUUAAACUAUAUAAACUAAGUUACUUUUCAUUUUGGUAUUUAAUUUUGACACAAUAUGAGUACGAAUUUCAUUAAAAAAAUUAUCCUCUCCGACCAAUAUUGGUAGGUUAUUUUUAUAUCAGUGGCUUAAAAUUCACCUAACGGACAAUAAUUUAUAAAGCCACUUCUCAAAAAAUCAAAUCACUACUGAAAGUGAUAACUAAAUUGCUAUCACCUCCAUUUUGACAUGAAGGUGAUUAAAUCGUGGUGACUAUCACCUUCAGUGCUGUAAAACUUCAUUCAAUUCAAUUGAAACUGAAUGUGGAACACAUUGACGAUCUCUCGAAUGCAGUAAACUUCACUCUCUGACACACCCAAUGUUUGCUGACGGCCCGAACGGGCAGCAUUCAGUCAUCAAUCGUUUCUCUUCAAUCGAGGCACAGUUUAACCACAAACGAAUUUCCAGACAUGACAGUCACGAUCUUUUUUUGGCGCACAUCUUCAGUCCUCCGUAAAACUGGCAACAAUGGUGAUAAAUUGGUUGCACUGCUGAGUUCCCAUCCUACAUUCCUAAUGCAAAUGUCCAACCGUGAGAACCCUUUCGAUUCGGUAGCUCAUUUGUAUAUAUUGAGAUUUUAUGGCACACUUUGGUUGAAAUGAUAACAAUGCAAUUAAUCUCGCGCUCCACCAAGCGGUGAGUGCGGUCAUUUCAGAAGGUACCGGGAACGAACCACAUUUUUCAAAAAUAUUUAUAUGCACGUACAUGUCUUUAUUAUUUAUCUUUGGUUUAACCACCGUCAGUUGAUCUCUUGAAGUAACAAAAUAUCUCUUUCAAUAGUGUGAGAGCGUCCUUCAAAUGAGGUUCAUGUAAACAUUCCAAUUGGUUCAAGAUAAUAGAUGAAAGACAAACCAGAUUGCUGAAAUGUCAAUCACAGAAUACACAUAAAUUAAUUGUUUCCUCCAUUAGUUUUCAUUUUUAAUACUUUACUCCAUUUAUUAUUCUAUUCGUUCGAAUUUGCUUACUACCAAGAGCGAAGGCAAUGAAGGAGUUACACUACUCCGCACUUGAAACUGAGCAAGCAAAACUUCAAAUGACUAUCAACGAUUAUUCAACUGACUAUGAAUUCCGGGAGCUUCACUUGAAAAUGGCAGCAAAAGUCAAAUGAAUUAGUAGGGAUAUGCUGACGGUCAGCGGCCAUAAAUUUCGUUUUCAUCUUAUAUUAUUCGAUUGAAAAUGAAAUUUUACUGCACUGAUCACCUUACGUAAUGCCAACGUUUGAUAGUGAUGUUAGCCUCUCAGCAGUGGUGACAGAACUUGGUGAUUAUCACCUUACGUGAUUCCAAAUUUUCAAAAGUGAUAAUCACUUGAUGAUAAUCACCUUACAUGAUUCCACCCCUGGGGUGGAAUCAUGUAAGGUGAUAAGUGACUAUCACCUCCUGGUGAUAACGAGGUGAUCACCAGAAUGUUUUGAAUCACCGAAGGUGAUCACUUUUACUAUCACCAUCACCGGUGAUUGAGCCAACUUCACUCCAUUUAUCACCUGUCAAGAAACGUCAAUUUUUCAGGAGUAAAAUAUGAAUGUGGCGUAUACCGUUGAUAUUAGGAGGAGUAACAUAUGAAAGUGGCGUAUACCCAUAUAAUAUUUUAAAAUCUAAAGUUUUAUUCCUUUAGUUUUCAAUUUUUUUCAUUAAUUCGAGUCAUGUUUAUCAAUGAUGAUUUGUAUGGAUCGAAGAGUAACGUUGAAAAAAAUUACCUGCGCACAAACAAAUAAAAAAAUCACUUGUUGGUUUAAUUUAGCGCCGAUUUUUAUUUUUCAAUGGAAAUCAAUGUCACAGUCAAUUCUUUGGGAUAAAUUUGCUAGCUUUGAAAUGACACGAAUUGUUAGAUCUUCUUGAUGUUUCACAACGGAUGGCAUUCCUCUCGAAUGAGAAAGAUCCGUUAAAUAAUUUCUUGUAUAGUUUUCAUUCACUUUACGAUUAUGGCAUUUCACAGAGCUUUCAAAUGCUACCUCCAUUUUGGAAAUUUUACCCACCGGUACUACGAAUAUCCACUAUGAUUAGCAGCAACUAAUUGUCCAAAAAUAUUGCCUUAUUUAGUUCAACUCACAAGAAAAUUAAGAACGCAGUUUAAUCUUUUUUACUCGUUCAGUUGAACGAGACUGAUAUGUCGCUUACUAAGUCACGGCCAUCUAAUUCUACUGAAAAUGUUAGCAUAGAUUUUUUUAUUUUACGUUAUGUGCAACAGGAGAUGUCUACAUUCAUAAACUUAUCACUUUUCCAGAAAGCAAUUUAUCUUUGACUUUACGAAUACCCCAAUGAUAUUCCUUCAAAUAAUAAUUAUAACAUAAAUGAAUUGAUUUAAUUGAUAAAUACUACCGUUCAUUUUAUGAAUUCUUUAAACUAUAUAAACUAAGUUACUUUUCAUUUUGGUAUUUAAUUCUGACACAAUAUCAGUACGAAUUUUAUUAAAAAAUUAUCCUCUCCGACCAAUAUUGGUAGGUUGUUUAUAUCAGUGGCUUGAAAUUCACCUAACGGACAAUAAUUUAUAAAGCCACUUCUCAAAAAAUCAAAUCACUACUGAAAGUGAUAACUAAAUUGCUAUCACCUCCAUUUUGACAUGAAGGUGAUUAAAUCGCGGUGACUAUCACCUUACGUAAUGCCAACGUUUGAUAGUGAUGUUAGCCUCUCAGCAGUGGUGACAGAACUUGGUGAUUAUCACCUUACAUGAUUCCAAAUUUUCAAAAGUGAUAAUCACUUGGUGAUAAUCACCUUACAUGAUUCCACCCCUGUUCUUUUAUAAUACGAUUGACCUGUUGCAGUCAUACCCACCCCAAUUGGUCAUGGCAUGCUAUGCAUUGAUUAUUAUGAAUUCGUUUGUACACAAUGUCAAUUGUAUGGGCGCGUAUCAAUCGUGCGCGCCAAACGAAUUUGACAUUUCUCUCUCCUACUUCUAUGUAUGAGAUUCAAUGCGGACUCGCCUGAGGGUGCCAUGCUCGCUAAAAAGGAUGUUGCCAAUGAUUUGUUCGUGAAAUGUGAUAGCUGGAUAUCUAGUUAAUAAUGAUGUCCUUGAUUUUAGGUAAGAUUUUAUUAACGUAUUUUUGAACAUAGCCUAAAUAUCUAAUAUUAGAUAAAAACUACACGAGCGAAGUAAUAAUCUGAAAUUAUAAUUUUACUUAACUCCAUGGUUGCAAUAUCGAAUAUCGAUAUUUUUCGUCAAUGCUCUGAAUUAUCGAUAUCGUCGAUAUCGUGGCAAUAUCGAUAUUAUCGAUAAAUAUCGAUAAGUUUCCCAUCUCUAGACACUACGUCAAGUUCACGGAACAUUUUAACGUCGGAUACGUGAGCAAUAUUCGGCAAAAAAAUUAAUAAAAAUAAUCUGGACGUCGACGGAAGUUUAUUGAUCGUCUGAAUCGUGUUUAAUGCAUGCGUUUCAUGUCAGAGAGCCUAAUUAUGGUACGGAAAACGGGCACAGAUUUUCACCACCCAUCUGACACCGGUAUGUGAGCACCAGCCAUUUGAAAGUAUACCGAUUACGUUGAGCCCCUCGCGUUUCGAGCCCCAAACACUGCGAUGUUUUGAUACUCAUCGCGACUCUCAAAUUGUGAAAAUUAUCUCCACUUGAUGUCCCAAAACACUGUCUGCUGUAUUUUAGGUAAACCGACAAGUUAUUGUGAGAGAGUCGACCAAAAAUUCACUAAUUUUCGUGCACUAAACAAGGCAAACGCGUAAAACAAAUGUAUUACUGUUUAUUUGUUUACGUUGCAAUCAGCUGAUUUUGAAGUUCCGAUUUUGAUCCCAUCAAGAUGGCGUCGUGACAGGAGGCCGAUUUUCACAGACAGGUUUUUGGCUUGAUCACAGAUUUUUGAAAAAAGGACCUGGCAUCCCUGCCUGGCAUAACUGAUUGUUUGGAAGGGCUGUUUUUUGGGUAUUUUCGACGCGUUCUGUUAAUCGUUGUGUUUCGAGUGCUCCAAAGAAUAUUCACAACAAUCAACAUGCCGACGACCAUAGAAGAUUUACCGGCAGAAGUAAUUUUCAAAUUGAAUUUUUAAGUGCAACUAAAUUUCAUUGAAUUUUUACGCAGAUGCUGGUGGAAAUUUUCUCAUAUUUGGAAUAUGAAGACUGCCUUGCCGCAACAACUGUUUGCCGGCUCUGGUCCGUAUUGGCUCUUCGUUGGAAGGAGCUACAAGUGGUUUUGGAAUUCGAAAAAGGACCAAUCUAUCACGCUCUGUUAGCUAGUUCGAGGCCGUACCGACACUUUUCCUUUAAUUGUAGCUGCCCUUAUGUAGAUUGGGAUGAGCCGGCUCAAAUUUUGGCUAAAUUUUCGUCAACGAUUGAAAUUUUGGAGAUUUCUACCAAAAAUUCAAACGAGGAAUUUCCUGAGUUUCUAGCAAAAAUGACGACUUUGUGUACAAAUCUGAAGCGUCUUGCAAUUGAGUGGAACGAAUCAGAGCCAUCUGGGCUCGAAAUUAGUUUUCAACCACUGAAUGAUUUGAGCGAUUUGUAUUUGAGUCUCCGCGAGGAAAGUUUAUUAGAAAUUGACUUCCGGAAAGUGACGCCGAACAUCACAAACUUGCACUUAAGAACCGAUCUCAAUUUCAAGCGAGCUCAUCAAAUUCUGCAGCAUUUUAGCCCUCGAUUGAAAGAGUUGAAGGUUUGGUUUCAUGAAGCGGAUCGAUUUAAAAUUGUUUGUGAAAUGAAUUUUCCGCUGUUGAAGCAGUUGCAUUUUUUGCUCUCUAUUUCCGGUCCAGAUCAUGAUUGGUCGCUCAAUUUGUUCACGAAGUUUUUCCGGCGAUGUGCCAAUUUGGAAGACGUUACCCUUCAAAUAUGUGCCAACAUGAAGGUGCUAGAAAGCAUAGCACAGUUUUGUUGUAAUCUGCAGAGCCUUUGCUUUGACAUUCCCGAGUUACCCGAAGACUGUUUCCGAUGCCUCAGCGAAAUACGUUGUUUGAAGGUUCCUAAUUGUUUAUAUUUGUCGAAGGACUGCUAAUUGUGUUCGUUUUUUGUAGUGCCUUAGAAUUAAUAAUGCAUCGAUCCUCCCGAUCGAUGCUCCCGAUUCAAAAUACUCCAUUCGUCCAUUUAGUAAACUACAAACGUUUACGCUCUGCUAUGUUCAUGUCGAAAAUCCAACGAAACUUAAUGCAUUUUUAUCCACUUUAUGUCCCGCACUCAUCACACUCGAACUUUUGUCUUUAAGAAAUGAAGAAGAAAUUCGAAAGUUAUUUUCUCCAAUCUACUGAUCAAACGAUUGACCAUAGAGGAGGUUGGAUCUAAAAUAAAAUUGCUUUCUGUUUCGAUACUAAACUUAAUUCCAUUUAGAUUAACUCUAUGAAAGUGAACGAGCUAUUUCAUUUGGCGUCCCUUCCGCAAUUGCGUGAGUUGAGGUUGGAUUUCUUCGAAUUUAGGAAUGAUACCCAUCAUUACGGCACUAGUCUCGAUUCUAUUCGGAUUUUAAAAAUCAACGAUGGCGUAAGUAGAAUCUAAUUCAUUCACAAUCUAUUUUCAGUUUAUAAUUUCAAUUCAGCUCAAAUGUUUUGAACUAAACAACCUGUUGAGCAUGUUGCAACUUUUUCCCAAUUUGAGUCAGCUUCAUAUUAAAGGUCCCCGUUCGGAGGAAACAAUUCAAGCGGUAAGAAAACUACUACCGCAUUGUGCAAUUAUUUUCAAGAAGAAAUUGCGCAUCGUAGAGAACAAGGAUUAUCAUCUGGCCUGGUGAAAUGGAUCAUAAAAUUUGGACAUGUUGAACGUGAAAAAUGAAUUACCUGAAGCUUUUACGUGAAAAAUGAAUUACCUGAAGCUUACUCAUCGAAAACUAUUUUUAACAUUUCCUUUGGUUGCAUUUAAUCGAAUUCACGACAAUAAAAUGAUUGAUUUUUCAGAAUCGUACUUCAUAGGCUUGAAAACCGUGUUCUAGUUCUAGAGGCAUAAUUUACGUCAGUUUUCAAAUUUAAAUCUGUAAAUUAUAGCAAACUAAAACUGGCAACCCCAUCAGCGUUUUAUGUACGAUUCAGACGAUCCGGCUUCUUCCAUCACCGUCACCGGAACGUCAGCUUCCGUCAAAAUUAGUUUUAUACUUUCUUUACCGGAACGUUCACAUGCUCCGUCCGUCAAGACGUUCCGCGACGGUGAUGUAACGUGUGAAUGGCUCCAUAAGAAUGCGUGUAAUUAAUCUUGACGGUGACGGAAAAAGCCGGAUCGUCUGAAUCGUACAUUACUCGUGUUACAAAUCCAUGAUCUAUUCCACUACCUCCAGAAAUAAUUUCCUUUUACUAAAAAUUCCAGAACUAACAAAAGGAGUUUCAAAACCACCAUUCGUGCACGGAUUCAGAAAAGUUUGGAAUAAAUAACUCUUAUCUUACUUGCGAAAUUUCUUAUUAUAAUCGCUCUCUCCGUUGUCAUACAAGCAUACGAAGUAUCACCCUGUUUGUUGGCAUCAGAGAUGCCAGGUAAAAAUUUCAAAUAUCUGCAGACAGGGUCUGUAAAACUGAAAAAAAAUCUGCAGUCAGCAAGUAUGUCUUGCUGGCAGCAAUUUCUCUAUAAAGCAUGAAACGCAAAACUGACUUGGCGAGCAAAAAAAAAGGUCGCGGAAAUUUCAAGUCUGUAAACAUAAACGAAAGUCUGCGAGAAUUUCAAAAGUCUACGAGAAUUUCAAAAGUUUGCAAAAGUCUGCACAACAAAAAAUGUCUGCAGCACUAUACUCCAAAUCUGCAGAUAUACAGACAAAUCUGCAGACCUGGCAUCUCUGGUUGGCAUGGAGCACGGAGGGCGAAACUUGCGAAAAAACAAAUGGAAUGACAGUUUCGCCCUUUAUGCUUCUUUGUAAUUCUAAGACCCGCCCGGUCUUUUGGCUGCCUGGGCAGCCAUGGCCCCCAGACGGCUACCAAAAUUGAUUCAGUGACGGCUGUCAAAUCAAAUUUGGCAAAACAAAGUCGCCUGUACCUUAGUUAGUUGAGCGUUUCCCCCCGUUCACCUUCGCUGAGCUUGAGCUUGAGCUUGAGCGACCACCCCUGGUUGCUACUCCGUUACUGAUCGGAAUUAGCUGAAAUUGUACAGGGAGUUUCUAGAUGAUCCGACCUGGGACUGGUAAAUCAUCCUUCAAUGUACAUCUUCUGGUAAUCCCAGAAUUGAUUGAUCAGUACCGGCGCCGGCCAGGCCCGAACGUAGAUCGUCUAAGGAAUGGGAAGGGAUGUUAGUCCAACACUUGUUAUUACUAGAGGCCGUAUACUUCUGCGCACUCCACAAGUGUCACGGGAGAAGGAUAUUUGUUAGUAAAAAUUUCAGUAUUGCUAUUAUUCGCGCGCGACUCAGUAUGUUCCGGUUUCAAGAUGCUCGGAUGCACCACUACACUCACUGACUCCUCGAGUGAACGUUUCAACAAUAUCCUAUAUUGAAGUCCCGGGAAGUCUUGAUUCACAGCUCUUAUUCGAGUAAACUGAAGAAAACUUUGCAAUACUAUCACGUAAAGAAUAAAAACUUCCCUAUUUUUUAGAAAUGAAAUUACGUGAUACAAAAUAAACGAGUGAAUAGGAUUUAGACAAAAUAGUUGAUUCAUUGCAUUGACAUAUUUUAAACAGUUGUUAUAAAAUCAUUUUAAAUCACCAAAUAAAGGUCAACAGGUUUCACGCGCGUCUUCAAUCUGUAUUAUUUCCGCUUUAUUAUUUUAAUUGUUUAUUAAAAUUAUUAAUUAGUUAUAUUGGUUGAUCUGGGCAGCCGGCUACCGAAAAAAAUUUUAAUUUAUUGUUUGAAAUAUUAAUAUCAAGUGUUUUUUACUAUGUAUUCAAUACACCGAUAUAUGUUAUCUCUGUUAUUAACUUUGUAAUAUCAACGGAUUUGCGCAAUAGUUGAUUUUUAUUAUUCAAUUUAUAAUCCUGAAAGACAAUCAAUAGCAUGGAAGAAGAAAACAUUCCAAAUAAAACUUUUCUCCGAAGCUAGACGGAAAUUGAUAGGUUGAAUGAAGAGAUAAUUUAGUAAAAUAGAGUAAUCAGAAGUGAAACAUUGAAAUUAUCUGAUAACUGAAAGGAAAAAGAAACUCCUGCAUUUGUCGCCUUUUACGACAUGGAAGCAGGAACCCAGUGGAUCUAUUUUUGGUUCAUUUUUUUCCGCCGGAUUCCACACGGCAUUUAGGCUGGUACUGUCCGGAGAGAGCUAAUAGGUAUAUCAAUCUCCUAGUGGACCCCAGCCCCUUCCCCCCCGUUCACCUUCGCUGAAAAUGUUUAAAAUUUCGAUGUUGAAAAAUCCUGGUGGAUACGGUUGUAUCGUUUGAGGUGUAUUUCUGGCAGCGGUGAAACAGUCGGUCACUAGAAUGGCUGCCAGCCAAAUUUUGCCCGCUGGCAGCGUUUAGUCAGCAGUCUAGCAGCCAUGCUCAUGCGGACGACUGUGAACCAGAGAUGCCAGAUAUUUUCAUAUAAAAUCUGUAUUACCCUGAAUAAAAAAUCUGUAUAUAUUGCGCAUUUCAUACUUGAUUAGACUCCUGCGAAAUAAAUAUUUGCACAGUCCAUUUCCCGCAGUACACACAUACAAAUAAUGUACGAUUCAGACGAUCCGGCUUCUUCCGUCACCGUCACCGGAACGUCAGCCUCCGUCAAAAUUAGUCAAACGAGUUUUCCUUUUGCGCAUUCACACGAUCCAGCAGAGAUCCGGAACGUCAACGUCCGUCAACGGCAAGCUCCGUCAACAUUUCUCCGAAAGAAUAUUUGACGGACUGUGAUUAUCGCACACAUGCACGAUUCAUAUGAUUACGGUAUUGAGCUGACGUUUGUUAUGUAUGUAUUCGGUGUCAAGAUCCCACUCUUAAACAAAAUAUACCACAUAUAGGUAAUUAAAUUUAUCAGUAGAUUUGCAAAGUACGUUACGUUGGUGAAUGGAACACAUUGUUUUGUUUUUUCCUCUUUCUAGCUAAUUUUGAAAGUUAUUUAUUCGAUUAAAAGGUAGGAAAACAACAGAUUGAUUGGCUUCAAAAGCUCCCAGAUUUUGUAUUAGUGGAAUAAAAUUGUGCGAAACUAAGUUCUUAAAAUUCUGCGUGUAAGAAAAUGACAUGACGGACACGGAUAGGAAACCGGAUCGUGUGAAUUAGAAUGACGGUGACGGACGUUGACGUUCCGGUGACGGUGACGGAAGAAGCCGGACGGUCUGAAUCGUACUUAAUGCAGCUCGCCGUCAGUGUAGCGUCCGUCCGGCAAACACAAAUUCGUCGUCACCGAUAUUUUUUUAUUUUCACUGAAGUCGCUAUGUCACUGCAUUUGCUGUGCCGGAACGGAUACAGCACGGAAAUAGAACGGAAGGAUUCCGACAAAAAAAGAACACUGAUGACGCACUGAAGGCACUUUCACUGAACCGUCACGGAACUGAAAUGUGUGAACGGACGUUGACGUUCCGGUGACGGUGACGGAAGAAGCCGGACGGUGACGGAAGAAGCCGGACGGUCUGAAUCGUACUUAAGUCCAGUUUAUGAAAACUAGUGAUGCCACUUAUGCAGAUUUAUACCUGAAUUUACAGAUUUCUGAUUGACGCCGUAGAUAUUCAAGAAUUGUACUCAUUAUCAAAUGUUAAAUGGACAUUUUGGAAAUUUACUUCUUUAGAUCAUUUAGCUUUCAUUUUGCACGAUAAAAUGCGAUAAUUUUGCCAAUUGUCACUGCAACAAUUUAAUAGCACAUACUUUUUAAAACCUGCUUAAAAUUUUAACCUGGCAUCCCUGAUGUGCACGGCUAAUUGCAUUUCUUGAAACAUUAGAAAAGGUCCCAAGUGUAAAUGACAGUUUCUCUUGCUUUACUCUAAUGUCUCUUUCAAUUACUUAUUAUUCCUGUAUUUUUCGACAAAUUCUUAAGUGCAGAUCAAAAGUUGAUGGUUUCAGUCAUCAUUCUAAGUGUUAGGGAGAGGGAUUGCCGAUAGACACGUACUAAUAGUGGCCCUUACACGAUCAUUAAAAGUGUCAUUACUAAGUAAUGACACUUCUGCUCAAACGCUCGUCAUUACUGCAUUACUGUACAUCAUUGCUUUUUAGCAUUACACGUUCAUUAUUAAUGAUGAGUAUUUGUAACUACUCCAGCAAUAGCAAUAUUUUUAUUUUCGUUUAGCUGAAAAUAAAUUUGAUUUGCCAUUGAAACGUUAAGGUUAAUGAAAUAUUAACAAUUUAAAUCUACACUUUGUCAUUCUUUCGCGUAUAGUUCUAAAGAUAUUCAUCACUUCCACAAAAAAAAUAAGAAGAAGAAAUAAUGUUGGUAAUGAUGGAAAAUCCACAAUUCCAUCAUUACUGAACUCGUAGACCUUACACGAUCAUUAAAAGUGCCAUUCCUUUUUAGUAAUGACACUUUUAAUGAUCGUGUAAGGGCCGCUAUAGAAAUCUCGUCAUUAUUGCACCAUUACACGUUCAUUAAAAUGAUAUCAUUUUUUACUAAUGACAUAUUUAAUGACUCAUGUAAGGGCCGCUAAUCAAAAUAGAGAGAGUGACCAAAGAGAAACUGUCAUUUGCACUUAGAACCUUUUCUAGUGUAUGUCUUCAUUUGUACUAAUAUUAGUGUGCCGACGACUAUAGAAGAUUUACCGGAAGAAGUAAUUUUCAAAUUCAAUUGUUGCAUACAGCUUAAAUUCAUAAAAUUUUUACUCAGAUGCUGGUGAAAAUUUUCUCAUAUCUGGAAUUUGAAGAAUGCCUAACCGCAACAACUGUUUGCCGGCUCUGGUCCGGAUUGGCUCUACGUUGGAAGGAGCUACAAGUGGUUUUGAUAUUCCAUAGAGGCACAUUUUAUCGCGCUCUGUUAGACAGUACGCGACCGUACCGACACUUUUCCUUUCGUUUUGUCUACUUCUCCAGAUUCGUAUCAGCCGGCUCAAUUUUUAGCAAAAUUUUCGUCAACGAUUGAAACACUGGAGAUAUGUACCGAUAAUUCAUACAAGGGAUUUCCCGAGUCUCUAGCAAAAAUGACAACUUUGUGUACAAAUCUGAAGCGUCUUGCAAUUAAGUGGAUCGGGUCAUUGCCAUCUGGACCCGAAAUUAAUUUUCAACCACUGAAUGAUUUGAGCGAUUUGUGUGUGAGUCUCAGGGAGGAAAGUUUAUUAGAAAUUGACUUCAGGAAAGUGACACCGAACAUUACUAGCUUGCAUUUAGGAAUCGAUUCUAAUUUCGAGCGAUCUCAACAAAUUCUGCAGCAUUUUAGCCCUCGAUUGGAAGAGUUGUCGAUGGGAUUUCGUUCUGCGGACCAUUUAACAACUGAUUAUGAAAUGAAUUUUCCGCUGUUGAAAAAGUUACAUUUCUACGGCUUUGGUAUCAUUAUAAAUAAUAAUUGGUCGCUCAAUUUGUUCACGAAGUUUUUCCGGCGAUAUGCCAAAUUGGAAAGCGUUACUCUUCAUAUAAGGGUCAACAUGCUGUUGCUAGAAAGCUUAGCACAGUUUUGUUGUAAUCUGCAGAGCCUUUGCUUUGGCAUUGCCGAGUUAUCCGAAGACUGUUUCCGGUGCCUUAGCGAAAUGCGUUGUUUGAAGGUACCUAAUGACGAUAUUUUUUGAAGGACUGCUAAUUGUGUUCGUUCUUUUCUUCUAGUGCAUUAGAAUCGAGCAUGCAACGAUCCAUACUCCCGAUUCAAAACAUUUCAUUCGUCCAUUUAGUAAGCUACAAAUGCUUACGCUCUGUGGUGUUCGUGUCGCAAAUCCAACGAAAUGUAAUACUUUUUUAUCCACUUUAUGUCCCGCACUCAUCACACUCGAGCUUUUGCAUAUACAAAUCAAUACGCGGACCCUAGCAAGUCACAAAGUAAUUUGCUUCAAUCUACUGAUCAAACGAUUGAUCAUAAAGGAGGUUGGAUUUAAAAUAAAAUUUUAUUUUUGUUUCGAUACCAUACUUAAUUCCAUUUAGAUCUAUAUGAAAGUGAACGAGCUAUCUCAUUUCGCCUCCCUUCCGCAAUUGCGUGGGUUGAGGUUGGAUUUCUGGGAAUUUAAGAAUGAUACCCAUCAUUACGGCACUAGUCUCGAUUCUAUUCGGAUUUUUAAACUCAACCUCAAAUAUUUCGAACUAAGCAACCUGUUGAGCAUGUUGCAACUCUUUCCCAAUUUGAGCCAGCUUUACCUUAGAGGUACCCGUUCGGAGAAAACAAUUCAAGCGGCAAGAAAACUACUACCGCAUUGUGCAAUUAUUUUCAAGAAGGAAUUGCGCAUCGUAGAGAGCAUGGAUUAUCGUCAGGCGUGGUGAAAUGAAUCACAAAAUGUGGACAUGUUGAACGUGAAAAAUGAAUUACCUGAAGCUUUUUCCGAUUAGAGAGAAAAGCAUUUACUCAUCGAAAUUUAUUUUUAACAUUUCCUUUGGUUGCAUUUGAUCGAAUUCACGACAAUAAAAUGAUUGAUUUUCCAGAAUCGUACUUCAUAGGCUUGAAAACCAUGUUCUAGAAGUGUUCUAGUUCUAGAGGUUAUAUCUUUCUACUGCCCAUCAAGUAGAAAAAUCUAAAAUUUUGAAUGAGUGGAUUAACAUUUAGCUUUUUUGACAGUUAAUUUGAGUUUCUUAUGUGAAAUAGAGAAAUCGUGAGAAGGCACACCACGUUAGUUCAAGAACCUAACGUGUCAAACCAAACUAGUCAGCAAAGUGCAAGAUCCCGGAAAGAACAAGAUCCUACCUGCCACAAAAUAAAAUACUACUUCUGUCAAUCAGUCUUCCUUGCCAUUGAGUAAUGACCAUAAUAAUCACAAGCCGUAAUAGUAGAAUAAAAUACACACUAAAUCCUUCGUUCAUGUUCCAUAGUUAAAAACAAAUCGGUUAAAGUUUGUAAAGAAAUAUCAACACAAUGUAGGAGGAAAAAAAGACAAAAACCGAUAAAAUUGGUAGUCACAGAAUGCGAAAUAAGGACAGGAUAAUUAGAUAAUUAAUAUGUUGAAUGAUUGAAGUCGUAAGCAAACAAACAAAACAAGUAUUUUCCGAUACCAACGCAACGCAAAACGCAGUGAAUUGAAUAAAACCAUUGAACAAGUUGA
Molecule: RNA transcript, 18110 nt
Organism: Malaya genurostris
Lineage: Eukaryota; Metazoa; Arthropoda; Insecta; Diptera; Culicidae
Gene name: serine/threonine-protein kinase stk11-like
Exons: 7
Source: RefSeq, a predicted model, not a curated record